CUUCUGCAUCAGAACGCAAGCUGCCGUAUAAACCCCCGGGCAGUGGCUCUUUGGGCCUCCCGGCUUGGGCACAUUUAGCCACAGGAAGCAAGCAACUGAGCAGGGCGCCCUUGGCGCAGGUUGGCAGUGGGUUAAUGAGAAGGUUUCAUUUAACUCUAGAUGGUCCCUGGUGUUCCACCUCACCUCUCCCAGAGUAUGUCAUUGUCCCGAAUGAAAGGGCCCCAGGGCAAUGCUUAGAAAUGAGUUUAAGCUGUUACACAUCAACUAAGGGCAAAGUCCUCUGUGCUUCUGUCCUUCCAGACUGCUCUAUACCAUUACUUUUGACCGAGCAUGGACUCCCUGGGGUUGGGGCUCACGGCUUCCAAAGUAUAUGGCGUGUGUCCCUUGCUAAAACCCUUGUAGUCCCUUCCACAUCGAGCAUAAGGUUCUGUCCACAAUAGUCACUUGAUUUGAAAAACAAAUUCCAAGUAAUAGAAAAUACGAUCUUUCAAAGUAUUUACCGUCCAAAAGCAAUGAUGCUGAUACUAAGCCAAGAAACUUGGAAGUCUGUUUGCGUCCACCCUUUCACCUCAAAUAAUGCAGAUUGGUUUCACAGCCCACCAUGUCUCACGGAUGUUGUCUGGUUCCCUCUGGCCGUCGGUGCUCGGAUCUGGGAGAGGAGUUUGGGCAUUCGUUAACUUUGCCAAUGACAGUGAUAUAUCAUCUAUAAUAUAUGAUACGUGAUAUAGCCGGCAGAGCCAAACAAGUCACUCCGAGAGUGAGUUAUUGGCUUUCUGGACAGAAAAGGUGUUGGGUCAAGUCCAAAAACAGCACUGAAUUUUCCUACUCUGUGAGCAGCAAGAAAAAUGAGGGCCAAGGUGACCACAAUCCUAUCUAGCCUCCACAUCUGCAUUUACCAAGAUGUUUUUAAAGUCCUCGAGGUUAACUCGAGAGAGGCAGUAAAAACGGACCCAAACCGGAGAGAUGGAAAGGGUGCCUUCCCGUCUCUUGGAACAAUUAGGCAUCAGGCAGCCUGGCCACCGAGGGAGACCCAGGCAACCUGCCCAGGGAGACCAGGCAGAGGUCAGGCAAAGAACCGAAAGCGUUCUGCAAGGGGGGUGGGAGUUUUAAAAAAUUAAAAACAGGUCAACGAGGAAGCCAGGGGUGGAAACCAAACCCUGAGGCCGGACCUGUGGUCGCACACCAUCCAGAACAGGGUGUCACCCCGAACUCUGCGAGUUCAGCCUCGCCCGUGCCAAUGCAUGGAGUCCUCCCCUCGGCUUGGAGGAAUCUUAAUUUUUCUCAGGGUGAUUCGGCUUCGCUUCAACCCGAGGGGUGAGGAGGGGAACCAAUUCUGGGACCUCCUUACUGCCCUCUGAAACUGCAGCUGGUGUUUUUUAACCCAGCACCUUCAAACAAAGGGAGAGCCAUGGUAGCUUCCUGCUGGGGUUUGGGUCGUGCUUGCUACCGAGGCAUUAAUCAGGGUUCUGACAUAGCUGGAAAGGGCUGGUUUCCUCUUCACGUAUAGAAUCAUAAAGGGGGCAUAACAUUCAAACAAAAGGCCAAGGAAACCUCUCCCAAAGAUCCUAUCAACUGCAGUUAUGGACCAAGGAGUCUGGCCAGAAGGGAAAGCCCAUUUUAGAAAAGGACCCUGUUUUUCCAGGCAGUGACAUUCCUGUUACUCCGGAUAUGACUAUAGUUCCAAAGAGGUCACUGGGGUAGACCUUGACUUCAUCUGGCUUUUAGGGAGUGGCCAGUGACUCGUGGCAGGGUUAGUUUUCCCCAUCUCUAGCAUUAAGGAGUGUGCAUAUCCGACGCUUGAGAUAAUGUCCUUCUAUCCUAUUGAUUUUACCUCUUUCGCAUUGUUCAGCACGAGUAGAGUUUUGCGGAGACCUUCCAGCCUCAGUGGGUGGAGCCUAACUCGUCUAAGCUAACCUUGGUGAUGCUGCAGCCCUGCAGCGUUCUGAUAUACCUGCCUACCAGGAUGCCUUUGGAAAUGGGCACUUGACUCAGUGCACAUUAAUUAGAGAGGAAGGAAAGUUUCCUCAUUGUUAAGAAAGAAUGGCUCAGUGGAAACAAACCCGACUAGGAUCCAUGAGGAUGUGGGUUCGACCCCUGGCUUCGCUCAGUGGGUUAAGGAUCUGGCGUUGCCGGGAGCUGUGGUGUAGGUUGCAGACGCGGUUCAGAUCUGGCGUGGCGGUGGCUGUGGUGGAGGCCGGCAGCUGCAGCUCCGAUUUGACCCCUAGCCUGGGAACCUCCAUAUGCCACACCCGUGGCCCUUAAAAAAAGAAAGAAAGAAAGAGGUGACUUUCCCACAAAGAUGCUGUCACAUGUGGACCUGUGGUCUGAAAGUGCUGCAGACAUCUCCCUGGAGGAUAAAGUCAACUCAGGGAGGAGAUCAGGACAAAGAGAAGAGCAGGGAAAAGAAACUGGGAUUAUGGUAUUACGUCAGCCCCGAAGCCACUUGCCUCUGGACGUCUAGUUUUGUGAGCCUAAAACUUUCUUUUUAGGAAGCAGGUAGAUGGUGACGAGAGAGGGUGGCUGGUCACUGAGGCAGGAACUUGCAGAUCAUCCAGGGGGAUGGAUACCCACUAACUAGACCCAGAGGAUGUUAUCAUUCAGAAGACCUGGUUAUCCCUUAACAAGGAAGGAAAGCCUUUCCAGUGCCUGGAAGACUUAUGUCCUCUAGCUUCCUUUCCCAGUAUCAAGGUGUCGAGUUGGCGGCCUGUAGCCACAACAGUAAAUAAUAAUAGCCUGAUUUGCCUGAAGUUACAUAGCUAGUAAAUAGAGCACAGGAUUUAGACUCUAAUCUCUCUGAGUCCAAAGCCCAAACUUUGAGCAAUUUAUGUAGGCCUUAGUGGCAAUCAAGAGGCUAUUAGGAGGAACAAAAACAAUAGCACACUUUUACCGAGCUCCUGCCUAAUGGCAGGCCCUGGGCCAAGCACUCCAGUGGAUUAGCUAAUCCAAUCCUCAUCAAACCCCAGUGUGAGGGUAGGUAUUAUUCUUCUUCUUCCCAAUUUAGGAAACUGAGGCUUGGAGGGAGAAAGUAAUCGCCAAGGCCACAUGGGUAAUAAGUGAUGGACGCUACAGGAACCACUAUUUUUUAGGGGAUCAUAACCGGGGGAGGGUGAGAAGGGUAGCACCUGGGUUGUUGCCUCUGUUCUGAUCCCAAAUCUGCUUUUCUGAUGGCCUAAGGAAACCAGGUCUGCUUUUGUAGCCAGUGCUGCACGCAUGCUCACUGACAGCUUCUUAUGAUCCAGGCCUUCUUGUUCAGACAUCGUGUUACUGUGCUCUGCCGAUGCCAUUUUUGUUUGUUUUUGUUUUUCUUUCUUUUUCUUUUCUUUUCUUUCUUUCUUUCUUUCUUUCCUUCUUUCUUUCUUUCUAACAAAUUGAAGGUUUGAGCAGGUCUAUGGACACCAUUUUCCACCAGCUUUUGUUCACUUUGUAUCUCUGUGUCACAUUUUGGUAAUUGUCACAAUAUUUCAACCGUUUUCAUUAUUACUAUAUUUGUUAUGUGAGCAGCAAUCUUUUUUUUUUUUUCUUUUUUGGUCACCCUGUAGCAUUAGAAGUUCCCUGGGCCAGGGAUCAGAUCCACGCCACAGUUGCCACCUAAGCCACAGCUGUGGCAACACUGGAUCCUUUAACACAACUGUACCAGGCCGGGGAUGGAAGCUGUAUCCUAGUGCACCCAGCAUGCCGCUAAUCCUGUUGUGCCACAGCGGGAACUCCUGGUCAGUGAUCUUUGGUGUUACCUUUGCAAAAAAAUUAUGACUUGAAGGUUCAGAUGAUGGUUAGCAUUUUUUUGUGAUAAAGUAUGUUUAAAUUAAGGUACUACGCACAUUGCUUUUUUAGACGCAAGUGGACUGUUGUAUACUUACUAGACUACACUAUAGGGUAAACACAACUGUUAGACACACUUGGAAACCAUAAACAAUUUGUGUGAUUUGCUUUAUUGUAUGCAAUGUUUGCUUUAUUGUGGUGGUCUGUGAGUGAUAGCUUGAAGUAAGAUCUCUGAGGUUUGCUUAUGUUCACACUCCAAAAACUUUUGUCGGGAAUUCCCGUCAUGAUGCAGCAGAAACAGAUCCAACUAGGAACCAUGAGGUUGUAGGUUCGAUCCCUGGCCUCGCUCAGUGGGUUAAGGAUCCGGUGUUGCCAUGAGCUGUGGUGUGGGUCGCAGACGAGGCUCAGAUCCUGUGUUGCUGUGGCUGUGGUAUAGUCCUGCAGCUGUAGCUCUGAUUCAACCCCUAGCCUGGGAAUCUCCAUAUGCUGUGGGAGCAGUCCUAAAAAGCAGACAAACAAACAAACAAAAAACCUUUUGUCACAAAAGUAUUAGAUAGUUGAGUUGGUAUUGGUUAGCCUUUGAAAUUGAUGCCUUACAGUUGAGAUUUUAGAAGCUCUUCUCACAGUCUGUUGUUGGUUUUCAGAAACCAACUUGGUACUCUUGUGGGGUUUUUCUCGUUAACAUCAGUUUCAGAAGGUGACAUGGGCUGGCCUUCUUCCUACAGCCCAGGAGUCUACUUUAUUUGUAUCCUGUUGACCUCUCCUUACCAUCCUCAGCAUUUUUGGUGGUGUUGAGUUGCCCAUUCUUGCCUGAACCACACGUCUAUGCACCGAAGUAUGUUUCUCUUGGUUCUUUAUUAUGUCUUUAUUUUUGAAUUGAAUUGUUCUAUGUUUAGAAAGCGUCUCUCUCCCAACAAAAUGGCAAACUUCUUACAGGCAUUGGCUGUGUCUUCUGCUUCCUACCCAUUCCCCACAGCACCAAACAGAGUGUCGAGCACGUAGUAAGCAUUCAGUGAAUGCUGAUGGAAUUGAAUUACGAACUAUUGUCUCAUGUUCAGUCUUUCCUCAAGGGCUUUUGGUUAGAACAUUUGGCCGGAAUGCCAUACAGACAAAACUGAGUUAGGAAAAAAACAUGCAAUAUAUGUUACAGUCAAGGCUCAGGAUUUCACAUUACCUAAUGCUUUGACUUCUUUUCAAAUCAGUUAGUUAUUAUCUGGUCUCACAAACAUUGCUUUUCUUUUCAUAUCUCUAGGCGGGAAUUUUCUUCUCUUUGCCUCCUAAUUUCACAUUUUCCCUUCUCAAACAAAUAUUUGAGCAAGGCCUUUCUUCUGGCUGAAGAAAUCACUGUUGUUACCAUCCCAUGGUGGCCUAAUUUAGAACACAUGUCAUUUCACUUCUGUCUUCUUCUUUUUUUUCCUUUUUUUUUUUUUUUUUGACAUUAACAGCUACAUGUAGGUGACAAAAUUUCCAAGCGAUAUGGAGGGCCCAGCCCUCACUGUCUUUGUAGCUUGGACUUUUUUUUUUUUUUUGUCUUUUUAGGGUCGCACCUGUGACAUAUGGAAGUUCCCAGGCUAGGGGUCGAAUCAGAGCUACAGCUGCCAGCCUACACCACAGCCACAGCAAUGCGGGAUCCGAGCUGUGCUUGCGACCUUCACCAUAGCUCAUGGCAAUGCCGGAUCCCUGACACUGAGCGAGGCCAGGGAUCGAACCUCCGUCCUCAUGGAUACUAGUCGGGUUCAUUACCCCUGAGCCAUGAUGGGAACUCCUGUAGCUUGCACUUUGAAGGGCGAAAGACAGAGCACUCACACAAAACAAAGCACACACAUUGGAGGAUUCCAGUGCAGGAGGAACCUUGGAGAAGUCAUCCAUUUUAACCUCAUUUGGCCCCUUCAGGAAGUCAGCCCCUAACUCACUGCCAAAAUUGUGCUGAUUCCUACUGAAGGCUUCCAAACCCCUCUCAGAGUUCUGCCACCACUGCUGUCUCUGUAACUGCGUACUCUGUGCCUCAGACUGGGUGGCCACAGUCCCAUGCUCUUGGUGCCUGGGCAGGGCUUGUGGGGGGGGGAUCUGCUCCUUCGUGGGGGAACCAGCAGGCCUGUCUGCCCACCUUCAGUGCUGAGAUCUCCUGGAACCGACAAGUUCAAUACCUGGAUUUAGGCAGCAGUGGCCCCCUUAAGCGGAUGUGCCUGAGCACCGACGUCCAUGGAGGCGGAAGGGCCCUUCCCUGCACCCCAGCCCUUGCCCUGCGCCCCUCUGCACCUGUGGCUGUUUGAAAUCCCCACGCUGCCAGCUUUGCUCCCAGGAAUCCCUGCUCAGGGGGUCCGGGCCUGCUCUCCACAGCCCCUUCCCUUGUGCUUGGCUUUCGUCUCGAGUCCACAGUUCUGGCAAGUCCUGACUUCUUCAAAGCCAGUGUGAGGAGAGUGCACGUUCAAAAUCAUCUGCCUGGGGUUGGAGGGAGUGGAAAAUGGAAAACAUUCUCGUUUUGGAGUCAUCUCAUCCUUUUGGAAAAAAUCUGAAUCCUCUACUGGUUUAUUGUUUGUAGGCUGCCAAAUGUGUUCUUUUUUUUUUUUUUUUUUUUCCAAAACAGAGGAAACCAUCUUUGAAUCUCAUUCUUAAUAACACACAAAUGAUAUGCAAUGCUUUUCCCACCCUCUGCAAAAUUGCCAGAGAAGGUGGGGAUAGGGUUUGGUUUCUUGUUGUUGUUGAUCACAAACAGUUCCCCGUGGAGCCACUUGGAGCAAAAGCAAGAUGCUGGUCAGGCGAUCACUAGCCCGCACGUCCAGAGAGUUCCCAUCCUGGAGAUUUGUCCGCCCUUAACCGCCGUGCUGCCUACUUCGACAAAAAGAAAUACACGACAAACGGAUGCCGGCUACUUGCUUCUGAGAUGUAUCGUCUUCUAAGGUUUCCCCUGACCACACUGCAGUGGGGGAAAGACUCUGAGUUUCCAUUUGUUAGGGGCAUGCCUUUUUGACUUGCUGAAAGGCUUUCCUUAUUGUAAAGCACCGUUUAAACAUAAACAAUGAAACCUCAUAAAGCCCAAAUUCUGUUUACUCAAAAGGGUAGGUAACUGGAAACUAGAAUAUAAAGUCAUAGAUUUUU
This 6858-nucleotide long non-coding RNA is filed under the name Sus scrofa (pig). Its description in RNAcentral is "lncRNA (ENSSSCG00000052324.1)". The record is from RNAcentral. Lineage: Eukaryota; Metazoa; Chordata; Mammalia; Artiodactyla; Suidae.